Molecule: non-coding RNA, 482 nt
Organism: Pelobates cultripes (western spadefoot toad)
Lineage: Eukaryota; Metazoa; Chordata; Amphibia; Anura; Pelobatidae
Source: the annotation of a GenBank genome assembly
AUGCCAUCAUGGGGGUAAUUCUCAUUCCUGGGUACCAUACGCUCUCAAAAGCAACACAACCAAUCUGGCAAAUUUUAGUGUGAAAAAACAACCUUGUAUUUGACUCUGUAACAUUCAAAAACAGUAUAAAACCUGUACAUUGGGGGUACUGUUAUACUCGGGAGACUUUGCUGAACACAAAUAUUAGUGUUUCACUUUCACUGACAAUAUCAUCGCUGUGAUAUGUUUUACUGUUUUGAAACACUAAUAUUGGUGUUCAGCGAAGUCUCCCGAGUAAAACAGUACCCCCCCAUGUACAGGUUUUAGGGUGUCAUGGAAAGUUACAGGGUUAAAUACAGUGCUAGCAAAUGAUAUUCUCUGGACUUUCGGCAUGGGUUGUCAUGCAGUUCCCACAAAUUGCAAUCAAUAAAAUUACUUAAUUAUGUAAAAAUAUUAUAUAAAUAUGCAAGUAGAAUUUAAAUAUACAUAUUUAUAUAUUUGAC